Molecule: long non-coding RNA, 1005 nt
Organism: Peromyscus leucopus (white-footed mouse)
Lineage: Eukaryota; Metazoa; Chordata; Mammalia; Rodentia; Cricetidae
Exons: 7
Source: RefSeq, a predicted model, not a curated record
UUUUCAUUUGCAUACAUUUUCAUAUAUUUUGUUGAAAAUAAUAGACUAGUGAGGACCGGGCUUAGAGGAGUCAGUGUGAAGGGAAGGCUAAGGAUGCGCCGGUUCUGGAGAGUAGAGAAUACGCCUUCCUUCUCCUCUACCCCUCCAGGCACCUUAUUUUAAAAAAAAACAAAAACAAAAACAAAAAACCAACAACCUUGUAUUUAAAAGUCUAACCUUGGGAGUUGGCUGGAGGUGCAAUUCGCUACAAGAAAAGAUGUGGACUGUGAAAUUAUCCCUCCAACUUUAGGAUUUAUGGGUUGGGAGAAAGAACUUGGUGUCUGGACUCCUGCUGCUUCUUCCCAUUGAUGACACCUGCCUCUUCUGCUCAUAUUUCAUGAGUCAACAUGGCCACUCCUAACUUUGAAGUGACUGUAGACAUUCUAUGUUACAGUGAGCCUAGAAAGAAGAAGAGAAAUAUUUCAGUGAUGCUGUAAGUAUCCUGUACUGUUGAAAGCAGGUGAUUCCCAUCUCCUACUGAGUCACAGAUGAUUCCCAUCUCCUACUGAGUCACAGAGACCAAGAUCCAGCUGUAACCUUGGCUGAGAUUUCCACAACUGUGCCCAGGACUGUAAGACGGAUACUACCCAGCAGAUGAAAAAAUCAACAGUUGACACAAGAGACUUAACUUUCCCAAGAACCUCUAAUGGUCAAGUCAAGACCCAGGAUGCUCCCAUGAUGCCAGGCUGGGAGUUAACAAAAAAGAAUAACUGCCAUGGAAGGAUGGUCCCCUUGCCAAUUGGCACUUAUCAAAGGACACGGAGGGAGAGGGACAGAGUGCCUAGAUGUGAGCCUUCAUCAAGUGUUCUGAAGACCCUACCCCAAAGGAGAGUGCUCGGAAGAAGAAAUGACGCUCUGGAUAGGCCUUUCCUCAAAGCUGGAGCUGUCCAGGGGUGGCAAACAGGGUCCCUGGGAUGCCUCUUCCCUGUUGCUGAUUCCUACAAAUAAAGUUCUAUCGGAUAUGGA